AGAGUUUGAUCCUGGCUCAGGACGAACGCUGGCGGCGUGCUUAACACAUGCAAGUCGAACGAGAAUCUAUGGAACGAGGAUUCGUCCAAGUGAAAUAGAGGACAGUGGCGGACGGGUGAGUAACGCGUGAGGAACCUGCCUUUCAGAGGGGGACAACAGUUGGAAACGACUGCUAAUACCGCAUAACGCAUAGAAGUCGCAUGGCUUUUAUGCCAAAGAUUUAUCGCUGAAAGAUGGCCUCGCGUCUGAUUAGCUAGUUGGUGAGGUAACGGCCCACCAAGGCGACGAUCAGUAGCCGGACUGAGAGGUUGAACGGCCACAUUGGGACUGAGAUACGGCCCAGACUCCUACGGGAGGCAGCAGUGGGGAAUAUUGGGCAAUGGGCGCAAGCCUGACCCAGCAACGCCGCGUGAAGGAAGAAGGCUUUCGGGUUGUAAACUUCUUUUGUCAGGGACGAGCAGAAGACGGUACCUGACGAAUAAGCCACGGCUAACUACGUGCCAGCAGCCGUGGUAAUACGUAGGUGGCAAGCGUUGUCCGGAUUUACUGGGUGUAAAGGGCGUGUAGCCGGGUCGGCAAGUCAGAUGUGGAAUCCACGGGCUUAACUCGUGAACUGCAUUUGAAACUGUUGAUCUUGAGUAUCGGAGAGGCAAUCGGAAUUCCUAGUGUAGCGGUGAAAUGCGUAGAUAUUAGGAGGAACACCAGUGGCGAAGGCGGAUUGCUGGACGACAACUGACGGUGAGGCGCGAAAGCGUGGGGAGCAAACAGGAUUAGAUACCCUGGUAGUCCACGCUGUAAACGAUGAAUACUAGGUGUGCGGGGACUGACCCCCUGCGUGCCGCAGCUAACGCAAUAAGUAUUCCACCUGGGGAGUACGAUCGCAAGGUUGAAGCUCAAAGGAAUUGACGGGGGCCCGCACAAGCGGAGGAACAUGUGGUUUAAUUCGAUGAUACGCGAGGAACCUUACCCGGGCUUGAAUUGCAGAGGAAGGAUUUGGAGACAAUGACGCCCUUCGGGGCCUCUGUGAAGGUGCUGCAUGGUUGUCGUCAGCUCGUGCCGUGAGGUGUCGGCUUAAGUGCCAUAACGAGCGCAACCCCUCUCCUUAGUUGCCAUCAGGUUAAGCUGGGCACUCUGGGGACACUGCCACCGUAAGGUGUGAGGAAGGUGGGGAUGACGUCAAAUCAGCACGGCCCUUACGUCCGGGGCUACACACGUGUUACAAUGGCAGGUACAGAGAGACGGUUGUACGUAAGUACGAUCAAAUCCUUAAAGCCUGUCUCAGUUCGGACUGGGGUCUGCAACCCGACCCCACGAAGCUGGAUUCGCUAGUAAUCGCGCAUCAGCCAUGGCGCGGUGAAUACGUUCCCGGGCCUUGUACACACCGCCCGUCAAGCCAUGAAAGCCGGGGGCGCCUAAAGUCCGUGACCGUAAGGGGCGGCCUAGGGCGAAACUGGUAAUUGGGGCUAAGUCGUAACAAGGUA
Molecule: ribosomal RNA, 1481 nt
Filed under: metagenome
Description: bacterial SSU rRNA
Rfam family: Bacterial small subunit ribosomal RNA
Source: RNAcentral